UGGGGGAUUUUGGACAAUGGGCGCAAGCCUGAUCCAGCCAUUCCGCGUGCAGGACGAAGGCCUUCGGGUUGUACACUGCUUUUGUACGUAACGAAAAGCCCUUCUCUAAUACAGGGGGGUCAUGACGGUACCGUAAGAAUAAGCACCGGCUAACUACGUGCCAGCAGCCGCGGUAAUACGUAGGGUGCAAGCGUUAAUCGGAAUUACUGGGCGUAAAGCGUGCGCAGGCGGUGAUGUAAGACAGGUGUGAAAUCCCCGGGCUUAACCUGGGAAUUGCAUUUGUGACUGCAGCGCUGGAGUGCGGCAGAGGGGGAUGGAAUUCCGCGUGUAGCAGUGAAAUGCGUAGAUAUGCGGAGGAACACCGAUGGCGAAGGCAAUCCCCUGGGCCUGCACUGACGCGCAUGCACGAAAGCGUGGGUAGCAAACA
Molecule: ribosomal RNA, 427 nt
Filed under: uncultured bacterium
Lineage: Bacteria
Description: bacterial SSU rRNA
Rfam family: Bacterial small subunit ribosomal RNA
Source: RNAcentral